GUUUUGAUCAAAAGGAGAGAUGGUUGGCAUCUCCGGAUGGGAACAACCUUCUGGCUUUCCUAUUACACACCUCGGUUAAGGCUAAGUAACCAAAAAACUCU
Molecule: non-coding RNA, 101 nt
Filed under: Trifolium pratense (red clover)
Lineage: Eukaryota; Viridiplantae; Streptophyta; Magnoliopsida; Fabales; Fabaceae
Source: RNAcentral